GACGAACGCUGGCGGCGUGCUUAACACAUGCAAGUCGAACGGAAUCCAUGGUGUAGCAAUACACCGGAAGAUUUAGUGGCGAACGGGUGAGGAUCACGUGAGAAACCUGCCCCAGACUUUGGGAUAACAAUUGGAAACGAUUGCUAAUACCGAAUGACGUCGGAGAACCGCAUGGUUCACUGACGAAAGGAAAUCCGGUUUGGGAGGGUCUCGCGGCCUAUCAGCUUGUUGGUGGGGUAAUGGCCUACCAAGGCAACGACGGGUAGCUGGUCUGAGAGGAUGAUCAGCCACACUGGGACUGAGACACGGCCCAGACUCCUACGGGAGGCAGCAGUGGGGAAUCUUGCGCAAUGGGCGAAAGCCUGACGCAGCAACGCCGCGUGCGGGAUGAAGGCCUUCGGGCUGUAAACCGCUUUCAGCAGGAACGAAAAUGACGGUACCUGCAGAAGAAGGAGCGGCCAACUACGUGCCAGCAGCCGCGGUGACACGUAGGCUCCAAGCGUUGUCCGGAUUUAUUGGGCGUAAAGAGCUCGUAGGCGGUUUAGUAAGUCGGGUGUUAAAACUCUGGGCUCAACCCGGAGAGGCCAUCCGAUACUGCUGUGACUUGAGUUCAGGAGGGGAGCGGGGAAUUCCUAGUGUAGCGGUG
RNAcentral lists this ribosomal RNA (646 nucleotides) under Actinomycetes bacterium. RNAcentral's name for it is "bacterial SSU rRNA". It matches the Rfam family "Bacterial small subunit ribosomal RNA", at positions 28 to 683 of the family's 1533-position model. The record is from RNAcentral. Lineage: Bacteria; Bacillati; Actinomycetota; Actinomycetes.